GAGAGAUUAGCUCAACUGGAUAGAGCGUUGGCCUCCGGAGCCAAAGGUUGUGGGUUCAAAUCCCGUAUCUCUCG
Molecule: transfer RNA, 74 nt
Filed under: Treponema sp.
Lineage: Bacteria; Pseudomonadati; Spirochaetota; Spirochaetia; Treponematales; Treponemataceae
Description: tRNA-Arg
Rfam family: tRNA
About the family: Transfer RNA (tRNA) molecules are approximately 80 nucleotides in length. Their secondary structure includes four short double-helical elements and three loops (D, anti-codon, and T loops).
Source: RNAcentral